Molecule: long non-coding RNA, 1057 nt
Filed under: Homo sapiens (human)
Lineage: Eukaryota; Metazoa; Chordata; Mammalia; Primates; Hominidae
Description: long intergenic non-protein coding RNA 1592
Source: RNAcentral
AAAGAAGAGGAAGAGACAUUAGGGAUGUGAGUGCAUAAAGAAAAGGCCACGUGAGGACACAGCAAGAAAGUGGUCAUCUGCAAGCGCAAAAGACAGGCCUCAGAAGAACCCAACCCUAUUGACACUAUGAUCUUGGACAUCCAGCCUCCAGAACUCCUAGGAGCAGAGAAGAAACCAUAUUUACUCAUCAUCAUCCGUUAACAAACCAUCUGUAUGCCUAAUAUUGAUGCUGUCUUUCCCUAGUGUACUGGACAACCUAAGACAGGGAAAUAAAGAUAAAGUUUGGAUUGAAGAGUGAGGAGCCAAAAUAAUGCAGCUUCACAUCUCCUUAAUGGACAGAAGACUACACUGUUUUUGCUGCACCCAGAGAUAAAAUUAUUGGUUUUGGAGUACCUUCACUGAUGCCAGGGGUGUCAUCUUUACCUUCCAUCACAUAAUAUAUAUAAAGAGAAUUUUUCUUAGCUUUAAAUGAGUUGAUAAGAGGACAAGAAGAAAGUCAAGGACUCCAUUUCCAGGAUUAAAAGCGGUUUUUUCCUUUGUCUUCCAAAUCCUAGCAGUAGAAGCAUUUGAGUUCUGCAGAAAUUACUGAAGUGGUUCAAGUGUGGGCAGUCAGGACACUCAGCCCACCAUACUCAACCCCAACUCAACCUCAACUCUCAGUACGGCAGAGAGACGGAGAACUCAGAGCUAUAACUUUCAGGAAUUCUCAAAACCUCAGACAAAAUGCAUCUUUGUUUUACCACCUGUUAAAGUAUAUCCUCAUCUGCCUCAGUGCACAUAAGUAUACAACACUGCAGAUUGUGUUUAACUUCAUUUGCAAUUAAUUUAACGCAUUUUGUAUCCAACAUUUCUACUAGGAAAUAGUAUUAGUCUAUCCCCAAACUAAAAUUCACUGCAAAAAUGUAAUUCACUCAAGAAAAAUAAUGAUAAUUCUUCAAACACCUUGAGAUGUCAUUCAACAAUCAUACCCAAUGGGUAAAAUUUAGAGUUCAACAUUUAGCUUGCAUUUCUUUCUAACCAAACAUCUCAAGUUCAAAAAAUAAAGCAGAUUGUUUUG